UAUUUUUCCUAUGCGGGAAGGAUGAGAAGCUUCGACCAGGGUUCGAUUCGAGCGUUAGCGAGAAAGCGUUGCCGCAGGCAACGACCCGAAGGGCGAAGCGCGCAGCGCUGAGUAAUCCUUCCCCCACCACCA
Molecule: small RNA, 132 nt
Filed under: Citrobacter freundii
Lineage: Bacteria; Pseudomonadati; Pseudomonadota; Gammaproteobacteria; Enterobacterales; Enterobacteriaceae
Also listed under: 1 other name
Description: RtT sRNA
Rfam family: RtT RNA
About the family: This family represents a bacterial cis-regulatory element known as RtT RNA.
Source: RNAcentral